GGUAGCAGCUCGGUGGUAGAGUGCGUGCUCUGUAUGUAGGAUGUCCUGGGUUCAAUUCCCCAGGUCGCCG
This is a non-coding RNA of Dallia pectoralis (Alaska blackfish), 70 nucleotides long. The record is from the annotation of a GenBank genome assembly. Lineage: Eukaryota; Metazoa; Chordata; Actinopteri; Esociformes; Umbridae.